Molecule: long non-coding RNA, 388 nt
Filed under: Mus musculus (house mouse)
Lineage: Eukaryota; Metazoa; Chordata; Mammalia; Rodentia; Muridae
Description: long non-coding RNA chrX:74504014-74504402
Source: RNAcentral
CACUCGGAGGGCGGCGGAGUGAUCGUCAACAACACUGAAAACAUCCUAAUGUCCUAUGAUCAUGUGGAGCUUACAUUCAACGACAUGAAGAACGUGCCAGAGGCCUUCAAAGGGACCAACAAAGGCACCAUCUACCGUACUCCGAACUGGGUAAUCUUUCUGUCUAAGGGGAAGGACACCACGCAGUCCUUCAUGAUGCCCUUUUUACCCGAUGAAGGACUGUGAGAUCAAGCAGCAAGGGUUCGGUGAGAACUUCAUUAAGGGAACAGUGAAAGCUGAAGCAAGAGGUGGUUGGGAAGGCUCCGCCUCCUACAAGCUGACCUUCGCAGCAGGGAGCACUAUUGAGUUUGGGCAGCAGAUUCUCCAGGUGGCAUCUCAAGCUGAAAGA